CCUACGGGGGGCAGCAGUGGGGAAUAUUGCACAAUGGGGGAAACCCUGAUGCAGCGACGCCGCGUGAGUGAAGAAGUAUUUCGGUAUGUAAAGCUCUAUCAGCAGGGAAGAAAAUGACGGUACCUGACUAAGAAGCCCUGGCUAACUACGUGCCAGCAGCCGCGGUAAUCCGUAGGGGGCAAGCGGUGUCCGGAUUUAUGGGGGGGAAAGGGAGCGUAAACGGCAGAGCAGAUUUGAAGUGAAAGGCCGGGGCCCAACUGCGGGACUGCUUUGGAAACUGCCCGGCUAGAGUGCUGGAGAGGUAAGCGGAAUUCCUAGUGUAGCGGUGAAAUGCGUAGAUAUUAGGAGGAACACCAGUGGCGAAGGCGGCUUACUGGACAGUAACUGACGUUGAGGCUCGAAAGCGUGGGGAGCAAACAGGAUUAGAUACCCUUGUAGUC
RNAcentral lists this ribosomal RNA (440 nucleotides) under uncultured bacterium. RNAcentral's name for it is "partial 16S ribosomal RNA". It matches the Rfam family "Bacterial small subunit ribosomal RNA", at positions 338 to 795 of the family's 1533-position model. The record is from RNAcentral.